This 597-nucleotide ribosomal RNA is filed under the name uncultured bacterium. Its description in RNAcentral is "bacterial SSU rRNA". It matches the Rfam family "Bacterial small subunit ribosomal RNA", at positions 338 to 950 of the family's 1533-position model. The record is from RNAcentral.
CCUACGGGAGGCAGCAGUGGGGAAUAUUGGACAAUGGGCGAAAGCCUGAUCCAGCAAUGCCGCGUGAGUGAUGAAGGCCUUCGGGUCGUAAAGCUCUUUUACCAGGGAUGAUAAUGACAGUACCUGGAGAAUAAGCUCCGACUAACUCCGUGCCAGCAGCCGCGGUAAUACGGAGGGAGCUAGCGUUGUUCGGAAUUACUGGGCGUAAAGAGUACGUAGGCGGUUAUUCAAGUCAGAGGUGAAAGCCCGGGGCUCAACCCCGGAACUGCCUUUGAAACUAGAUAACUAGAGUCUUGGAGAGGUUAGUGGAAUUCCGAGUGUAGAGGUGAAAUUCGUAGAUAUUCGGAAGAACACCAGUGGCGAAGGCGACUAACUGGACAAGUACUGACGCUGAGGUACGAAAGCGUGGGGAGCAAACAGGAUUAGAUACCCUGGUAGUCCACGCCGUAAACGAUGAUAACUAGUUGUUCGGUCACUUGGUGACUGAGUGACGCAGCUAACGCAUUAAGUUAUCCGCCUGGGGAGUACGGUCGCAAGAUUAAAACUCAAAAUGAAUAGACGCGUGAGACGNGCCGACGACGACGACGAGGGAGUAGG